UUUUAUAGUCUUUAGUUGUCAAACUCGAUGACUAAAUAAUAAUAAUAAAAUAAAAAAAAUAUCAACAAUUGAUUUAUAAAUAAACGACAAUAACUUUUAUAAUUAUAUUGUUUUGAAUUUUAACUGUCAAAAGUUUGUUGAUAAUAUCAAUUUUGUUGUUAUCAUUUUUAGUUAGAUAAUAAUAAUAUUAAUAAAAUAAUGAUACUGAUAAACAAAUGAUUCAAUGUCUGUAAUUGUUGUUAUAAAUAAUGAGUUAGUUAUUUCUGAAUAAGUGAGUGAAAAAGUGAGUAAAUAAUGACAAUGAAAAUACUAUUAAACAAAUUGAGUUAUUAUGAAAUGUAAAAGUGUCAUCAAGAUCAAGUGUCAUCAAAGAAUAAACUUCAAUGACAUCAACAAAUCCAGAAUAUUUGUAAACUCAACACAAUCAUUUUAAGAGUAUGGAGUUUAAUGACAUCAAUAAAUGCAAUCAUCAACAUGAAAAUAGUGUUAAAAAUCAUACAAUAACAUGUAAAGAUUGCAAAUAUUGUUUAAUAUUAUAUUUUAAUUCAACAAAAAAUUAAUAACACAUUUAAAGAGUUAAAUUUAUCUUUAAAAAAGAGAAUAAAACAAAAUGGAGUUUAUGUUUUCAUGGAAAAAAUUAAAUUAUGAUUAAUCAAAUGUUAAUUUAACAUCUUGAAUUAAUUUUACAUGAACAAUAAUAUCAAAUUUGACAUCUAGAUAAAUUGAUGACAAAUUUUUCAAGUGUCAAUAUAUAAAAUUGAUGAAGAAUCAUCUUGACAGCCAAAAAAAACAAUCCAAAAUCAAAAACGAAUCAAUCAAGAUUUUUUAAUAGAAACAACAAAACAAUCAUUACAAUAAUUGUUUAUUAAUUAAAUAAAUUUUCCCCGCUAAUAUAUAUUGGUAGCCAAUCGAUAAUAAAAUUUUCAUUAUUAUCAAUUCAAGAGUGAUGUGUUAUUGUGUGUUAUUAAAAUCAAGAAGUUAUUAAAAAUUUUUUAACACAUUGACAGUAACAUGAACAAGUGUGCUGUUCGAAUAGCUCAAAAAUCAAAAAACUUUUAAUGAUUAUUGUGUAAAAUAUUAAUAGUUAAGUGAAGCUUUAUUUAUAAUAAAUAAAUUAUAAAUAUUUUUGUCAAUGAAAAUUAAAUGAUUCAUCAGACAUUUCACUGGCCAACACGAGAUAAAUCUACAUUCAGAAAUGGUGAAUGAAAUUAUAGAGUAAUAUAUUCAAGGUCAAGAUGUUGAUAAAAGAAUACAGGAUUCCAUUACCUUUGACUGUUGAGGAAUACAGAAUAGCUCAACUUUAUAUGAUAGCGAAAAAAUCAAGAGAAGAGAGUAAAGGCGUUGGCUCUGGUGUUGAAAUAAUUGAUAAUGAGCCAUAUACUGAUGGACCAGGUGGUUCUGGUCAAUAUACACAUAAAAUAUAUCAUGUUGGUAGUCAUUUACCUGGUUGGUUUAAAAGUUUAUUACCAAAAUCAGCAUUAACUGCUAAAGAAGAAGCAUGGAAUUCAUAUCCAUAUACUAAAACAAGAUAUACAUGUCCAUUUGUUGAAAAAUUUUCAGUUGAAAUUGAAACAUAUUAUUAUCCUGAUAAUGGACAUCAAGAUAAUGUAUUUAAAUUAUCUGGUAGUGAUUUACGUAAUAGAAUUGUUGAUGUUAUUGAUAUUGUUAAAGAUCAACUUUAUGGUGCUGAUUAUGUUAAAGAAGAAGAUCCAAAAGAUUUUAUAUCUGAAAAAACUAAAAGAGGUCCAUUAUAUGAAAAUUGGCUUGAUGAUUAUUGGACUGAAGUUAAAGAUAAAAAACAACCAACAUCAAGUGGUAAAUCAUUAAUGUGUGCAUAUAAAUUAUGUCGUGUUGAAUUUCGUUAUUGGGGUAUGCAAACAAAACUUGAAAAAUUUAUUCAUGAUGUUGCAUUAAGAAAAACAAUGGUACGUGCACAUAGACAAGCAUGGGCAUGGCAAGAUGAAUGGAUUGGUUUAACAAUGGAUGAUAUACGUGAAAUUGAAAAACAAACACAAACAAUGUUAAAAAGAAAAAUGGCUGCUGUUGAAGCUGGUGAAUUAAUUGAUGAUUUAAAUGAUAAUUAUGAUGAUAAUACAAAUUCAAGUAUAACACCACAAGAUAAAGAUGUUGCUAAAACACUUGCAGCAACACUUGGUAGUAUUGAAAAAAAUGAAGAUCCACAAUCACCAUUAUCAAUUAGAAAAACAUCUGAUGUACCAAUUGUUAAUACAAUUAUUGAUUCUGAAGGUGAUGCAACACCUGAUGAUUCACCAACAACACUACUUCCACCAAAAACUGAUGAUAAAUUUGAUAACAAAAAAAAUUGGAAAAGAAAUAGUCAAACAGCACAUUCACCAAAUACAACAAAAGGUUUUGAUGUACAAAUGGCUAAUUGGCGAAUGGAAAGUAUCGUCCGUGAAUCAGAAUCUAGUGAUGAUGAAUAUUUCGAUUGUGAAGAAGAUUUUGGAGAUGAUACGUCACUUGCUAAAUGGAGCUCAUUGGAUAUAUUGAAUGAAAAAGAUGAUGCACCAGUAGUAACAUUAAAUAAACAAGAUGACAGUAUAUUUUCACCGUCAUAUUUUCAACGUGUUGCAAGUGAAAGAAAUCCAAGAAAAUUACAUAUACGUGCAUCAGCAAGUAUUGAUAUGUCAUGUCCAGCAUCACCUCAACAUUCACCAACUCAUCAACCAUGUAGAACAACAGUAUUAUUAAUUGUAAUGCAUGCUGGUAGUGUACUUGAUGCAAAUGUUGAUUUAACAGCUAAAAAAUCAGAUGUAACAACAUUUAGAGGUGCAUUUGAAUCAGUUAUGAGACAACAUUAUCCAACAAUGGUUGGACAUAUUGCAAUAAGAUUUGUAUCAUGUCCAUCAAUAUGUACUGAAGGUCUUGGUAUAUUAUCAAGUUUAAGUCCAUAUAGUUUUGAUGUAUCACCAUCAUGUAUUGAUACACCACAAGUAACACAUGAUACAAUACCAAUUGGUGCAAUACCAAUGCUUGCAACAUCAACACCAGAUUAUCAAGAUUCAAUAACAAAAGUUAUAAAUAGUGCUAAUCAAAUAUAUUCAGAUUUUAUAAAAUGUGAUGAAGGUAAAGGUUUUGCUGGACAAAUAUCAUUUAUUGGUGAUUCAGUUGGUUCAAUAUUAGCAUAUGAUGCAUUAUGUAGAACAACAAAUUCACAAUCACGUCAUGAUAGUGAAAAUAGUAUACUUGAUAAUGACAAUCAACAAAUUAUAAAUAAUAAUGAUAUUGGUGAUGAUGGUAAACAUUUAACAGCACCAAUACCAAGAAGAAGAUCAUCAUCAACAAGUGAAGGAGGACAUACACAACAAUGUAAAUUAGAUUUUGAUGUUUUUGAAUUUUUUAUGUUUGGUAGUCCAUUAUCACUUGUAUUGGCAUACAGAAAAAUAUCAACAAAUGGAGAUAAAAAUUAUUCAAUAUGUCGACCAAUUGUUAAUCAAGUUUAUAAUUUAUUUCAUCCAACUGAUCCAGUUGCUGCUAGAUUAGAACCACUUAUAUCAGCAAGAUUUUCACAUUUACCACCAGUUAAUGUUGCUAGAUAUCAAAAAUAUCCACUUGGUAAUGGACAACCUUAUCAUUUACUUGAAGCUAUUCAAACAAAUCCACAAUUUUUUUGUGAAAGCUUGAAUGCACCAAAUACAUCGCUUCAACAUCUACGACGAAUGUCAGAUAUAUCGAUUCAAAGUACAAUGUCUGGCCUUAUUGACAAUGUUCCAUUUCACACUGUAUCAACAUUAAGUCAAAAAUGGUGGGGUAAUAAAAGACUUGAUUAUGCAUUAUAUUGUCCUGAUGGUUUAACAAAUUUUCCAACAAAUGCAUUACCACAUUUAUUUCAUGCAAGUUAUUGGGAAUCAUCAGAUGUUAUUGCAUUUAUAUUACGACAAAUUGGAAGAUUUGAUUUACCAAUGCUUGGUGGUGAAGAAAAAGAACUAGCAUCAUUUCGUCCAGGUCAACCACGUGAAAAAUGGAAUAAAAAACGUACAUCAGUUAAAUUAAAAAAUGUAGCAGCAAAUCAUCGUGCAAAUGAUGUUAUUGUACGUGAAGGUGCACCACAAAUAUUAAUAGCACGUUUUAUGUAUAGUCCAAUUGAUGUUAUUGCAUUAACUGGUGAAAAAGUUGAUAUACAUGUUAUGAAAGAUGCACCUGGUGGUGAAUGGACAUAUAUUACAACUGAAAUAACAGAUAAAAAUGGUAGAAUAACAUAUAAAAUACCAGAUGAUAAAGCAUUAUCAUAUGGUUUAUAUCCAAUUAAAAUGGUUGUACGUGGUGAUCAUACAUCUGUUGAUUUUUUUAUGGCUGUUAUACCACCAAAUACAGAAUGUGUUGUAUUUAGUAUUGAUGGUUCAUUUACAGCAAGUAUGUCUGUUACUGGUAGAGAUCCAAAAGUACGUGCUGGUGCUGUUGAUGUUGCACGUCAUUGGCAAGAAUUAGGAUAUUUAAUAAUAUAUAUUACAGCAAGACCAGAUAUGCAACAACAAAAAGUUGUAUCAUGGUUAUCACAACAUAAUUUUCCACAUGGUCUUGUAUCAUUUGCUGAUGGUUUAUCAACUGAUCCACUUGGUCAUAAAACAGCAUAUUUAAAUAAUUUAAUACAAGAACAUGGUGUUAUAAUACAUCAUGCAUAUGGUUCAGCAAAAGAUAUUAAUGUUUAUACAGCAAUUAAUUUAAAACAAAAACAAAUUAUUAUUAUUGGAAAAGUAUCAAAAAAACAACAAUCAUAUGCAACAAUAUUAACUGAUGGUUAUGCGGCACAUUUAACACAAUUACAAUCACAUGGUGGAUCAAGACCAGCACAGGGUAAUGCUAGAAUGGUUAUACCAAGAGGACAAUUUGGAUUACCUGGUUUAAAUUCAUCACUACGACGAAGAAGCGCGAAAAGUACGAGCCCCGGCUCUGUUCCAGUAACGACACAAUGAACAGCUCAUCAUCAUCACGAAACAACGUCUUUAUAAUGCGGAAAGUCUACCUUACCCACAUCUAACACUCGUUAACUAUCUACCUACAAUUAAAUCACUCAUAUAUAUUGGUAUCUACUGUGCGAGGAUAAAUUGUAAUUAAUUUAGCCAAUAAUCAAGAGUGUCUAAUGAAGUGUCAUCAUUGAAUUAAUAUAAUAAUUCAUCAUCUCAAAUUGCUGCUACAUUUCAUUCACAAUCGGUCACAACUUAUUCGAAGUUCUUUUAGAUCAACAAAACGUGCAAUUUCACAUCCAGGUUUUGUUGGUAAAACUGAAAUUUUGGAAAGAAGCACGAGUGUUGGACCAAUUGGUAAAUCACGUAAUUCU
Molecule: unclassified non-coding RNA, 5299 nt
Filed under: Aphidius gifuensis
Lineage: Eukaryota; Metazoa; Arthropoda; Insecta; Hymenoptera; Braconidae
Description: protein retinal degeneration B, transcript variant X1
Source: RNAcentral